GGAUCGGGAACUGCGGUCAGGGAGCCUCCGCGGGGCCUUUUCAUCCGCUGUGUUCCCCUUUGCAAAAAGCCUCCUAAACAACCUUUGUUGUCCCAUCUCCAGAAGGAAAAGCAUCUCAGUCCUUCACCGACCUGGGGAUGCCAGCAGCAUGGGUGAGCUCUGGGUGAAUUUGUUCGGGUUGUGGCGUCAGUUAUUUGUUUGGUUCAUUAUAUUCACGUGGGAAGACAAGAAGCGUUCUUGGAGUAUUAGGGAGGACACGUAUCUGAUAUCAUUAAGCGCGUGAGUGAAUAAACACCUGUAAAUACGAAAUUUACUAUCACGGAAAAGCCAGGCUACUCAGCUCCACCUGAGCUCGCCUGACCUCCAGAGCCCUGCCAGUCUCCCAGAACUUCAAAAUAUGAGUGUUUACAAAAAAAAGACGAUAUAAGCUUCUUUCCGUUAGUAUCAGCACUUGGAAUUGAAUUUCCUAUAAUUUAGGAAGAGUAAUUACUAAGCAGGGGACCGAGGCUUGGCACUAUGGGAAUAUCCUGUUUCCUGAGAUUUUUGAUGUGUUCCUGGAUCACGUGUUGUAUUGAGGGUUACUGAAUGUUGUUUUUCUGGUGCAUUCAUUCUUAGCUGCCAGUUUGUUCUCCUCUUUUAUCUUUUUUUCUACCUUUCCAUUACUACUGUGUGCUCCUGAAUUCUGUCUCAAUGUGCUGCAAUCCAUAUAUUAUCAUUCUUUUUGAUAGUUCAACUUUAUCUAGGGGUAGCUCCUUUCAGCGCUCUCUAUUCCACACAACCCCGUGGAUGUUUGAGGACCUCAUUGCUUUCUGACUCAACAAGAUGUUACAGGUUCAUUUGGUACAUUCCUACCCCAGGUGUAGAGGCAGACAUUUCUCCCAGAGAGCCUAGUUCUUUGUAGAAAUCAACAUCUGUUUCCCUGGGGUAAAUUCUGUUUCAAUGUCAUUGGUUCAAGGCCCUUCCAGAACUAGAAAACAUUUUUUAAAAUCGUAAGUUUGUGUUCAAGUUACCAAUGCAAAGGUAACAUUGUAUUUUUUCUCUUACCUCCUCAGGUUUCAAAUUUGUGUUUUUUUCUGUCUUGGUUCCUAAUAACAUUAGUUUAUUUCUUAUUUGCCUUAUCCUACAUGACACAUCCUGAAAAUGCAAUAUUACAAUACUACUAUUAUGAAAGUUUCAUGUUUCUUAAUAGUUCUUUUUGUACUAAGUUUAUAUUCUUUUUAUCCUUGUUACCAUUUUCGAAGUCAUUUUACUUCCUGAGCAUAUAAAACUUUUAUGUGGUUCAAAACUCAAAACGACAUGAGAAAGUAUACUCAGAAGUUUUCCAUCCGUAUCUGUUGUGUUUCAUUAACAUGUUCCCAGUGUUUUUUUCCUUUCAGAAAUACGCAAUAUAUAUGUGUUCUCAUGCAUAUUUGUGCGUCCUCUUAUCUCCUUACAAUCUUACACAAACAUAAUAACAUUCUGCACUUCAUGUUUUCACUUAAAUAUAUAUAUGCUGGAAAUCACUCACCUUGCCUCAUAGAGAUCUUCUUUUUCCAUUAGUUUCCCAUUAAGGGGUACAAUAUUUAAGGAGUUAUCUAUGGAUACAAUUUGAGUUUUUUCUAUUUUUUGUUCUUAGUAAUCUUGCCGAAUAUCCUCUACUUGUAUUGUAUCAUUUUGCCAUUUCAGGUGCAUUUUUUUAAAGCAAAGUUUAAAGUAAUUGUGUAGAAAAAUAAUCAACAUUUUUGUUAACUGCAAGCACUUAUUUUCCUCCACCCUCCCCUCCAAAUAAUCCCGGCUCUGUAUUGUUAGAGUAAUUAAGUAUAAUUCCUGAAAACUCAGAUUUAUAUUGUGUCAUGAACAGUUAGUUAUAAUCUAGAUACAUUUUAACGAUCUUGAGAAGGAUUUUUGUUGCCCAUCAGUCCACAAUCUCUGGGUGCCUUCAGUGAGUGCCCUGCAGUGAUCUUGACGUCAAGGAAAGGAGUAUUCAGGCAGAUUUUACCAUCAGCCUCACAGGAUGGUGGCUACUGAUGUGUUGUAUGAUAAGUCCUAGGUGAUGCUUUCAGACUCUCUUUAGGUCACCCCUGCACAAUAUGGCUUUGGAUUUUAUAGGACAGCAGAACUGCUCUGGUGCCUUUAGGAGGAAGAGCUGAAAUCGGCCUGAGAAUGCUGUUUUUUAAGUCAGCUGCUCCUAUAUGUCCUUUGGAAAAGGUGCUACAUAAUCUCCUUCAGGAGUCUUCUCAUCAGGGGAGAUCAGGAGUCCCAGUUCUCAGGGCUGAAGUUUCCUUACCUGUAAAGUAAGACUAUCACCCUUUUUCUCUUAGGCAGCCUGGCUCACAGUCCCCUUUUCUGGCUCUAGGUGAGGCACAACUACUCUGACAUUUGAUGGCAGUAGUGUAUAUUUAUGUGAGUUUUCCUGAGCAUGCAGGGAUAUACAGGAAUUUCAAAUGGGGAUGCAAUGACUUCCAGGGAGGUGAAUGUGGGAAUUACAGUCAGCUCUGGAUCCUCUUGCAUACUUUAUUUUCCCUAAGUUCUUACUACAGACACUUUUGUCCUUCCUGAGGAAAAGACAGAGGAUGAAAGAAUGGGGGCUGGCUGACUGAAAAAUUGUUAUUAGGUAAAAACAAAGCUUACUCUUCUAUAAAAUGACAUACUUGCAUCUACCAGGUAGACACAUUUUCUUCUGGGUAGUCCUUCCUCUAGAGCUUCUCAAAGGAGAUAAGGCCCCAUUCAAUGAACUCUGCAGUUGAAUUUUCCACAUAGUGGAUUUGCUCCUAUUGUGAGGGAUUAUCCUGAAAGUCAUCCCAGUAGUUCAGUCAUUCCUAAUGAAUCUUGACCCUCAUGCUGUCAACUGCAUGUCUCUUAUUUUGCUGAGGGCUCUGACAGCAGGUAAGGAAGAUGAAAGGGUGUUUUUCUCAAAGGAUUUGUUUAUUCAUCAGCAUUUAUCAGUAGUGUGCAGUGUGCUCAAGGAUAUGCUUCAAUAGAGAGAAAUAAAUCAAGAAGAUCCUCUAGUUGUAGUGAGAUAAGUUCAUUUGUAAGAGGUGCAAUUAAAGGCUUGUGACUGGAGGAGAUAAACAGUGGGUGAGUGUAGAUACGGUGAAGAGUACCUAGGACCACUGAACCCUGGGGGAGAUAAUGGGAGACCUGAGAACCCUGUAUUGGCUUUGAGUCUCCCAUCCUCAUUAUCCAGUAAACAUUGGUGGAGAUUUUACUUUCUCGGUUCAGCCUAUUUGUGAUGGUUUAGGAUUUAGUGACCUUUGAGGAUGUUGUUGGGGACUUCACCCAGGAAGAGUGGACAUUAUUGGACCUCACUUAGAGAAACCUAUUCAGAGAUGUGAUACUGGAGACUACAAGAAUCUGGUCACAAUAGAAUGAGAAAUGGGACUUAUAAAUAAAGAAUUAGCACUUCAUCAGGAUAUAUUUUGGGGGGAAACAGCCAGCCCCCCAAAUAGGAUACAAGUGAAGCCUUCUUAUGGACAUGCAAACUAACACAGGAUUGAAAACUAAGACUAAAGUAUGGCUGGAAUUCUGCCCCCCUGUAAUUCAUAUGUUAAAGCCCUAACCCAUAAUUCCUCAAAAUGUAUCCAUAUUUAGAGAUGUUUGUUAAAGAAGUGAUUAAGUUAAAGUGAGGUCUUUUGUGGGGGUCUCUAAUUCAGUAUCACUGGUGUCCUAAUAAGAAGUGAAAGAGACACCAGGGAUGCAUACACACAGAGAGAGAACCAUGUGAAGAUACUAGAAGAUGGCCAUCUGCAAGCCAAGGAAAGAGGCCUGGAACAGAUUCUUCAAUAAAACCUUCCUGAGAAACCCAUCCGUGUUGGCACCUUGAUUUUGGACUUCUGGUCUCCAGAUUUGUGGGAAAAUAUAUUUCUGCUGUUUUAGUCAUCAAGUCUGUGGUACUUCUUUCUGUAAGGAACAUGGUCAACAUCUGCAUAUUGCUCAAGCUUUGGUAUCCACGUGAGAAUAUGCACUGUGUAAAACCCUGUGAAUGUAAAGUGUACAGGAAAACUUUCACGCUCUUCAUAACUUACUGUUUAGGAACUCACAGUCAAGGGGUGCAGUAUAAAUUUAAGGAGUGUGGGAAAGCCAUCAGAAUAUCCUCGUAAACCAGCAUUAUAAGAACUCACACUGAAGCCAUACCAUGUAAGAAAUGUGGAAAACCCUUUACUAUUUGCUCAGUUUUUACUAAAUAAGUUAGAUCUUGUAGUGGAGAGAAAUCCUAAUAUUAUAAGAUGUGGAAAGUUGUAGUUCUGCUAAAUACUUUAAUAUUCACUUGUACUUUUGCAGCGGAGAAAAACUUGAUGAAUAUCAGAAAGGGUUGAAAGUCAUUCUUCCAUUAGAUUGUACCUCAUACUUUAAUAAACACGGGAUGAUUCACGCUCUAAAAAUGGGAUAACUUAGACGCAAGAGAAAUUGUGAAUGUAGGGAAUAUAAGAAAGGUUUCCCUUAGUCCUGCAAUCUUAUGGUAUGCUGAGAGAAACAUUGCUUUCUGGGUGGUUCUGUAGAUCUAUUUUGAACAGUUAUGAUUAUGUCCUGACCAUUUUGGGGCACAAUGUGUCUUUCUUUCUUGUGAUAACCAUGGCAAGCCAGUCUAGUUGCUACACCUUCUGGUUUGCAACCAGGCCAAAGUGGGCCAAUAAGAUUUACACUUAAUCCUAUUCUAGCCACCUGGAUUCACUUGUUGGAUUGACAUGGUUUUACAUUGUGAAGACAGUGACUGUUUGAAUUCACUGCUCAUGGAGUGCAUCUACUUUGGCUCACACUGGCCAAGGUGGGGACAUAAUACAUCUCUCUAAAAUUUCUACAAAAGCCCUCCUCCUUCUCUCCUUAUCCAUUCACAUAAAAGGCCAGUGUGCAAGCAGAGUGUGAGUGGAGAAAAGGUGAGGUCAUACACCCAGAUUUCAUGGCCAUGAGGGAGAACAACAACCCCAGCACUUGGGGAGAGAAUACUUUUGACCUCAGGCAGUGUAGGGAGGCGCUCAAAAAAAAAAUAUAGCACCACAGCCUGGAAAAACAAUGAUACUGUCUGCCUGAGGCAAGCCACAGCUGGAGCUGGAAAUAUGACGGGCUGCUGGGUUGUCACUCCAUCCAUGUGCUAUGAAAAAAGAAAAACUUAUUAGUGUGACCUGUCCUGAUAAUCUGCCGUGCUUGAAGCCAUCACUGGCAGUUCCUGAUUGCAGUCCCUGAGAACAGAAAGAGACCAGCACAUCCUCAUUUCGGUCUGUAUGAGACAAAAUCAUAUACUUCUGAUGCUGGAGCAGCCUUGAGUUAUGUCAUGACUGGCCACCGAGGAUGCAGCUGCUUGAUGACACUUUCCAUGGGGAUUAUCAAAGCUGUGUAACAGUAAUCCACAUCAAGCUUAAAUAUAAAACCUGAGAAGGAAUGACCUGUGUCUUUUAUGUUGUAUGUUUGCAGAGCAAAGUGGGUUGUGGAGUGGUUAUCUACCUGUAUGAGUUGCUGUUUAGCCUGUGUUUUACGGCAUUUAGUUCUUAGGAACAACAUAAAAUACAGCUGAUUAGUCUUUACUCCCUUGUGUGGGCUGUAAGUGAUAAUACACUGGCCUUA
This is a long non-coding RNA of Diceros bicornis minor, 5538 nucleotides long. RefSeq lists it as uncharacterized. The record is from RefSeq and is a predicted model, not a curated record. The transcript is spliced from 3 exons. Lineage: Eukaryota; Metazoa; Chordata; Mammalia; Perissodactyla; Rhinocerotidae.